CUGCAGUCUGCAACUCGACUGCACGAAGUCGGAAUUGCUAGUAAUCGCGGAUCAGCAUGCCGCGGUGAAUACGUUCCCGGGCCUUGUACACACCGCCCGUCACACCAUGAGAGUCGGGAACACCCGAAGUCCGUAGUCUAACCGCAAGGAGGACGCGGCCGAAGGUGGGCUUGAUAAUUGGGGUGAAGUCGUAACAAGGUAUC
This 203-nucleotide ribosomal RNA is filed under the name uncultured bacterium. Its description in RNAcentral is "partial 16S ribosomal RNA". It matches the Rfam family "Bacterial small subunit ribosomal RNA", at positions 1298 to 1500 of the family's 1533-position model. The record is from RNAcentral.